AGUCGAGCGAUAUUCGGGGGCAACCCUGAUGAAAGCGGCGGACUGGUGAGUAACGCGUGGGUGACCUACCUUGAGGAUGGGGAUAGCUGUUAGAAAUAGCAGGUAAUACCGAAUACGUUCACAAUAUUAUGAUUAUGUGAAGAAAGGAGCUACGGCUCCGCCUUGAGAUGGGCCCGCGUCCCAUUAGCUAGUUGGUGAGGUAAAGGCCCACCAAGGCGAAGAUGGGUAGCCGGCCUGAGAGGGUGAACGGCCACACUGGGACUGAGAUACGGCCCAGACUCCUACGGGAGGCAGCAGCUAAGAAUAUUCCACAAUGGACGAAAGUCUGAUGGAGCGACGCCGCGUGGAUGACGAAGGCCGAAAGGUUGUAAAAUCCUUUUGCGGAUGAAGAAUAAGCGGUGGAGGGAAUGCCAUCGUGAUGACGUUAGUCCGCGAAUAAGCCCCGGCUAAUUACGUGCCAGCAGCCGCGGUAACACGUAAGGGGCAAGCGUUGUUCGGAAUUAUUGGGCGUAAAGGGCGCGUAGGCGGCCGCGUAAGUCUGAUGUGAAAACCCCGGGCUCAACCCGGGAACUGCAUUGGAAACUGUGCGGCUUGAGUCACGGAGGGGAAAUCGGAAUUCCUGGUGUAGGGGUGAAAUCUGUAGAUAUCAGGAAGAACACCGGUGGCGAAGGCGGAUUUCCAGCCGAUGACUGACGCUGAGGCGCGAAAGUGCGGGGAGCAAACAGGAUUAGAUACCCUGGUAGUCCGCACUAUAAACGAUGCACACUAUGUGUCGGGACGAGCGUCUCGGCGCCGGAGCGAACGCGAUAAGUGUGCCGCCUGGGGAGUAUGCCCGCAAGGG
RNAcentral lists this ribosomal RNA (841 nucleotides) under uncultured bacterium. Its description in RNAcentral is "bacterial SSU rRNA". It matches the Rfam family "Bacterial small subunit ribosomal RNA", at positions 60 to 894 of the family's 1533-position model. The record is from RNAcentral.